UACGAGGGGUGCAAGCGUUGCUCGGAAUUAUUGGGCGUAAAGGGCGCGUAGGCGGCUUUACAAGUCAAAGGUGAAAUCCCUCGGCUCAACUGAGGAACUGCCUUUGAAACUGUGAGGCUUGAGGCCGGGAGGGGGUAGCGGAAUUCCCAGUGUAGCGGUGAAAUGCGUAGAUACUGGGAGGAACACCAGUGGCGAAGGCGGCUACCUGGACCGGAACUGACGCUGAGGCGCGAAAGCGUGGGUAGCAAACAGG
RNAcentral lists this ribosomal RNA (253 nucleotides) under uncultured prokaryote. RNAcentral describes it as "partial 16S ribosomal RNA". It matches the Rfam family "Bacterial small subunit ribosomal RNA", at positions 524 to 776 of the family's 1533-position model. The record is from RNAcentral.